UUGACCACCUGGUGGGAAGGCAGGGCCAACCCAGCGGAGCUCAGGUGCAUGCAAUCUAUCUGAGUGACCAGAAUGGGUAGAGCCAGGAGCCACCCCUUCCCAGACUUCACUUAAUGGUUGCCAGUGGAAGCAAGGGUAUCUUGCUCUGGAGAUUCCUGCAUGCUUGAAGCCUUCUGUAGUGGAAAAAGUGAUUCACUCACAGAGGUCGAUGGUGCAGACUCUCAAACUGGUUGUAGAAAGCACUGAUGUUAAUGCAGAGGGAACAAGCUGCCUAAUGGAAACUACUGGUUUGCAAGUUCUAACUUAUACUGCUUUGUGCCUUUAAGAGAAAGCUAGAGGGAGACUUUGUUACUUUCUACAGCUAUCUGAUGGGAGAUUUGGAGAAUACGAAGGCAGGCUUUUAUUGGAGGUGGCAAACUGAAGGUUGAAUGUUGUUUACAGAGAUUCCUCUUGAAACGGGAGCAGUUUGGUUGAGUAAUGCUUCAGUUACAAGUUGCAUUUUGAGAGCUGAAUGGGAACCACAUGAAGAAGGCAGAUAUAAACGUUCACAAUACAAAUCUGCAAUGCUGUUUUUGCUGACACUUUCUCCCCCUUCCCCAGGCAAAACAAAAGAACAAUACUAUAGACAACGUUUGCUCAAACUACAGCUGUGACAGGAAGGGAAAGAGAAUGAAAUUUAUUCAUGAGCAGGAGACUGAAGAAUUGUGUAUGCUUAUUCUACUCUCAGUGAAAAUGAAGUGCAAAUGAGAGG
This is a long non-coding RNA of Centrocercus urophasianus (Greater sage-grouse), 751 nucleotides long. RefSeq lists it as uncharacterized. NCBI's taxonomy places the organism in Eukaryota, Metazoa, Chordata, Aves, Galliformes, Phasianidae. The record is from RefSeq and is a predicted model, not a curated record. The transcript is spliced from 7 exons.